RNAcentral lists this ribosomal RNA (24 nucleotides) under Phedimus hybridus. Its description in RNAcentral is "partial 18S ribosomal RNA". The record is from RNAcentral. Lineage: Eukaryota; Viridiplantae; Streptophyta; Magnoliopsida; Saxifragales; Crassulaceae.
UCCGUAGGUGAACCUGCUGAAGGA